This 1054-nucleotide ribosomal RNA is filed under the name Trichonympha agilis. Its description in RNAcentral is "SSU rRNA". It matches the Rfam family "Eukaryotic small subunit ribosomal RNA", at positions 564 to 1817 of the family's 1831-position model. Lineage: Eukaryota; Parabasalia; Trichonymphida; Trichonymphidae. The record is from RNAcentral.
GUGCCAGCAGCCGCGGUAAUUCCAGCUCUGUAAGUGUGCUCCCAUAUUGUUGCAGUUAAAAAGCCCGUAGUCGGAUUUCUAAUGACUAAUUAUUCACUGUGAAUAAAUUAGGACGCUUAAAGUAUGGUUGCAUGAAUACUGUAGCGCAGUAUGAAAGAUUUUGCUCUUGUGGCAAGAUCAAAGAGAGCCAUUGGGGGUAUUUCUAUUUCAUGGCGAGCGGUGAAAUGCGUUGACCCAUGGGAGAGAAACGAAAGCGAAGGCAAAUACCCAAAGGGUUUCUGUCGAUCAAGGGCGAGAGUAGGGGGAGCGAACCGGAUCAGAGACCCGGGUAGUCCCUACUGUAAACGAUGUCGACAGGGGAUUGUCUACUAGUUAGGCAGAACCUUAGCAAAAAUGAUAGUUCAUGGACUCUGGGGGAACUACGACUGCAAGGCUGAAACUUGAAGGAAUUGACGGAAGGGCACACCAGGGGUGGAGCCUGUGGCCUAAUUUGAAUCAACACGGGGAAACUUACCAGAACCAGAUGAUUCGAUGACUUACAUCUAAAAGAGCUUUAAGGAUGGGUUUGAUGGUGGUGCAUGGCCGUUGGUGGUGCGUGGGUUGACCUGUCACGAGUCGAUUCAGUUAACGAGCGAGACUACCGCCAAAUAUUAGCCAAGCUAUACAUUAGUGAAAGCUUCUAUUUGGGACUACCUGUUAUCAAGCGGGAGGAAGAGGGUAGCAAUAACAGGUCCGUGAUGUCCUUUAGAUGCUCUGGGCUGCACGCGUGCUACAAUGUGAAUCACAAAGGAUAAGAAAUCCGAAAGGAUGCAUUACUUCUUGAAAGAUUCACGUAGCUGGGAUUGACAUUUGGAAUCAUUGUCAUGAACCAGGAAUCCCUUGUAAAUGUAUGUCAACACCGUACGUUGAAUACGUCCCUGCCCUUUGUACACACCGCCCGUCGCUCCUACCGAUUGGACGUUUUGGUGAAAAUACUGGACUUUUUUGAAAGGUAUUUAAAUCAGCUCGUCUAGAGGAAGGAGAAGUCGUAACAAGGUAACGGUAGGUGAACCUG